AUUCUUACUUGACGUAGGGGGAUACCGUGAUCAUGCAGGCCGUUCCCCCAGGGCGAGGCUACUUCAUUGCACUGCGGAGUGGUUGACCCUUCAGUUUGUUUUUAUUAAUAAAAAAAUCAUAAUAUAAAAUGUAUACCCGAAUAAUUAUUUUCUUUAUA
Molecule: small nuclear RNA, 158 nt
Organism: Bombyx mandarina (wild silkworm)
Lineage: Eukaryota; Metazoa; Arthropoda; Insecta; Lepidoptera; Bombycidae
Source: RefSeq, a predicted model, not a curated record